This is a non-coding RNA of Pelobates cultripes (western spadefoot toad), 73 nucleotides long. The record is from the annotation of a GenBank genome assembly. NCBI's taxonomy places the organism in Eukaryota, Metazoa, Chordata, Amphibia, Anura, Pelobatidae.
GCCCGGCUAGCUCAGUCGGUAGAGCAUGAGACUCUUAAUCUCAGGGUAGAUGGGUUCGAGCCCGCGUUGGGCA